Molecule: long non-coding RNA, 1093 nt
Organism: Zonotrichia albicollis (white-throated sparrow)
Lineage: Eukaryota; Metazoa; Chordata; Aves; Passeriformes; Passerellidae
Source: Ensembl
GAAGGACAUGAAGUCAGUGUGUUUUUUGGCCCAAAUAAAACAGAACUAGAUGCGUAUAAUGCUCUUUUAGGGUGAGUACCUGGGGUGGAUCUUUAAGUCUGUCUUCUGAGGCUGGACAUUAUGUUUUAUGUGUUAUUUUGUUUCUAGCACCCUGUUUGUGCAUCAUGAUCAGGGUGCAGCACAGAGGAGAUUCAUCUGCUCUUCCUACUCCUCUGUUCCCCAGCUCUCAGACUUCCUCCUCUCCUCAGCCAUCACGCAAUGAAAAUGCUCUGGCUGGGUACUUUAAAUAUAUUAUUGCUUCUGGGCUCUCUGCUGAUUGGAAGGAGUUGUACAGUAAAAAGGUGCAGAGAUGUUUGUGUGAUAAAUGGGAAUAUAUAGACUAGGAUGCUUGGCAGGGCUGAAAAAACACUGUCAUGUGCAUUCAAAAUGGAAGGGAAGGCAGGGGAGGGAGACACGAGCUGUUAAAGUGAGUGGCAGCCACCUACAAACCUAAUCCAAAUAAAAUCCCUCAGAGCAGGGGGACGUACCCCUCCAUUUUGCACCCCCACGGAAGGAUCAAAGCGAAUAGCAGCGCUCGCUCCCGCUGCCUGAGCCUCUGCCUCAGAGCCCCUCCUCAGGGCCAGCAGGCCCGGGAGGCGCCCGGGUCACCUCGGCGUCCCCUCGGCCCAGCGCCGGGGGUGGGCAGGAGCAGCACGCCGCAGCCUCAAAGGCUGGAGCAGCCAAUGCAGUGCUGCGAGGCCGGCACAGAGCUCCAGGAGCCGCCGAGGCUGCCCGAGGCACCGAGCCUCCCGGAGCUCUGCCGAGCGGCGCGGCUCUGCAUCCCAAUGCUCGCCCGGCGCUGUCGUGCGGCCCGGCCCGAGCGGGGGAAGGAGCCUGCCCGCCACGCUGCCGUGCGUCCUCUCUGGGGCUCCAGGGGAGGCACGGCCUUCAGCUGUACUUCUGCCGGAUGAAAACUGAAAAUAUCUGUAAAUGGUUAAAAUGCAAUGAGUGUCAUCACUCUAAGACUCAGAAGAUAAAAAUUAAACCACUAAAUGUUACAGGUAUGUUUGUGUUCUGUCACCUAAAAUGCACCUAUGUCCCUUUUGCUAUUUAG